RNAcentral lists this long non-coding RNA (520 nucleotides) under Zostera marina. RNAcentral describes it as "long non-coding RNA (ZMAR_LNC001253)". The record is from RNAcentral. Lineage: Eukaryota; Viridiplantae; Streptophyta; Magnoliopsida; Alismatales; Zosteraceae.
UAUUUUCAAAACAGUGGCUGUCGUUUUAUAUUCAAUACAUCAAAAAACGGGAACUUUCCAUUACCAAACCAUUUGUGUUCUUCAAUCGUUUCCAUUACAUCUCAAUCGUUUUCAUUACUCUGCUGUGUGUUCUGUUAUCUCUGAUCAUCUACACAGCACAUGACAUCAGGAUCUACGUUUCUUCAUGGUAUCAGAGCAGACGAUCUGAAGCUGCUUGUCACACUGCGAUCUUCGACCUCCAGUUGUGCUUCACUGCGAUUUCUGUCUAAACUCGAAUCUGGUAUUGUUUCAAUAUUUUUUACACAUUCUAAACUCAUUUAUUACAUCUGAAUCUUAAACUUCCGCUGCAAAUCGAAUCCCUAAAACUUCACUAUUCUGACCUAAUAAACAAACUGUAAUACACAUCUCAUAUUGACUGUCUACUGCAAGUCUAUCAUAUUUCAUGUUAUUCACACUAUCAAAUCUUUAAAUCGACUCAUACUACACAUACUGCUAUACUAUUUAAAUAAAAUAAAAUCGA